GACCUUUGGAAUUGAAGAGUUUGAGAAGCUGAUCAACGGUGGAGUUUGCUUGCGGCAGAUUGGAACCUACUCUGGCCGCCAUUGAUAUCUUCCCGUCCCAUCGUCCCUUCUUCACCUGAAAAAUGACCAGAUUUCUUUGAAUCAAGAGAAGGGCUCUAACCAAAUGGACAAAAUCUCUGGCUGCAAUUGCGAGGAUGUCAGCACAAGACACAACGCCAGGGCACUUGCUCUCAACCAACGCUUUGGCCUUCUUGAUGCUUUCAAACCCCUCCGGUCUCAGCCCCUUGUUGUCCGCUGCAUCCUUCUCCGCUGCCACUUUGCUGCCAGGCUUCGUCGAUAUCAGAAUCGACCCAUCACAGCCCUGCCAUUUUCAAGAGCUUCUCAACAUUUUUCAAACACAACCAGUUUGGUAUAAAAUUUGGCAGCCACUGAAAACAAUGAAAUAAAUUGAAGGCUGAUAAAAGCUGAUAGAGAGAGAGCGUGGUGGACAGAAGGGCGUGUAAUAAGCCAAGCCAAGCAUGAGUAAUGAACUUCAUAAAUGCAAGGCAUGUGCUACCACAGACGUUGAUCAAAUUAUUACAGGUACUCUCUAGUUGUAGCACAGGGCAAAAUAAGCUGCAGGAGGAUUGUACUAACAUGCCGCCAGUGACUUUCUCAAGGCUCCGUAUGAGAAGAAAGAAGUCUCUGUGUUUUUAGUCUGCAGUCAUUCCACUGAAAACCGUUCGAGUACUUUGAUGCUUCAAAAGUCAGAAUUGCUUAGUUUCAAAGAUUUUGAAGUUUGGAAGAACAUGGUGAAGAGUGGCACAGCCGUUCAUGAGAUUCCCCACCCCAAUUAAAAUAUUUCCCCUCCUACUUCAAUGUAAAGCUACAAAGUAAAAAGUUUGUAGGGUUGUUUCUUGAGAAUAAUAAUUAAUAGAUGUAAUUAGCUAGAUGGGCACCACGUUUAUUUUAAGUUGAACUGCUUGAGAUAUAUAUCAGUUGGGGUGUACAUUCAA
Cucurbita pepo subsp. pepo (vegetable marrow) is the source of this 995-nucleotide non-coding RNA. The record is from RefSeq and is a predicted model, not a curated record. Lineage: Eukaryota; Viridiplantae; Streptophyta; Magnoliopsida; Cucurbitales; Cucurbitaceae.